Unclassified non-coding RNA from Macaca mulatta (Rhesus monkey), 117 nucleotides. It matches the Rfam family "Metazoan signal recognition particle RNA". From Rfam's summary of the family: The signal recognition particle (SRP) is a universally conserved ribonucleoprotein. The record is from Ensembl. Lineage: Eukaryota; Metazoa; Chordata; Mammalia; Primates; Cercopithecidae.
GCCAGGCGCGGUGGCUCACGCCUGUAAUCCCAGCACUUUGGGAGGCUGAGGCAGGCGGAUCACCUGAGGUCAGGAGUUCAAGAUCAGCCUGACCAACAUGGAGAAACCCUGUCUCUA